This 694-nucleotide long non-coding RNA is filed under the name Mytilus galloprovincialis (Mediterranean mussel). Lineage: Eukaryota; Metazoa; Mollusca; Bivalvia; Mytilida; Mytilidae. The record is from RNAcentral.
UCGGCUUAGUUAUGUUUUUAAGUUGGUCCACAGUGGGGGUCUGACUCAGAAAAGUUAUUUAAAAAUGUUCUACGGCAAUACUUGUGUCUGCACUACGUGCAAAGGGAAGCUAAGUAGCUCAGGUAUACUUGAGAAAAAAAUCCAGGGUGUUGUUCGGCUUAGUUUUGUUUUUAAGUAGGUCCACAGUUGGGGUCGGACACCCUACCCCACCCUUACAGAACAGUCAAUAAAAAUAUGGUGUACGUCAACAUUUUUGUCUGCACUAGGUGGAAAUGGAGCUGGAUAGCUGAGUUCAACAUGAGAAAAAAUCCAGGGUGUUGUUCGGCUUAGUUUUGCUUUUAAGUAGGUCCAGAAUUGGGGUCGGACACCCUACCCCACCCUUACAGAAAAGUUAAGAAAAAAUGUUUUACGCAUAAAUUGUGUCUACACUAGGUGCAAAGCGAAGCAGGGUAGCUGAGGUCAACAUGAGAAAAAUUCCAGGGUGUUGUGCGUCUUAGUUUUGUUUUAUAGUAGGUCAACAGUUGUGGUCGUACUCCAUACCCCACCCUUACAGAAAAGAUAAUAAAAAAUGUUCUACAGCAUCACUUUUGUCUGCACUAGUUGCAAAGGGAAGCUGGGCAGCUAAAUUUUACUUGAGAAAAAAUCAAGGGUGUUGUUCGGCUUAGUUUUGUUUUCAAGUAGGUCAACAGUUGGG